Non-coding RNA from Charadrius vociferus (killdeer), 215 nucleotides. NCBI's taxonomy places the organism in Eukaryota, Metazoa, Chordata, Aves, Charadriiformes, Charadriidae. The record is from Rfam.
UGAGGGGCCCAGGGUACAGGGAGAGUGCCAUGCAGCUUUAACCGCACACAUGUACUUGUUUUACAGCUUGAAAACAAAAAAGACCCAACUGUGCAAGUGAAUAAAGGACAAAUCAAGUAAAUUAUAGUCAGGAUCACAGUCAAAACCCAGAAUGAAGGUCUGGGUUCCUCAGAGACUUGAAUGAAUCAAAGACGGUUUUUCCACCUCCCCUCCAG